RNAcentral lists this ribosomal RNA (510 nucleotides) under uncultured bacterium. Its description in RNAcentral is "partial 16S ribosomal RNA". It matches the Rfam family "Bacterial small subunit ribosomal RNA", at positions 28 to 507 of the family's 1533-position model. The record is from RNAcentral.
GACGAACGCUGGCGGCGUGCUUAACACAUGCAAGUCGAACGAAGAGCGAUGGAAGCUUGCUUCUAUCAAUCUUAGUGGCGAACGGGUGAGUAACGCGUAAUCAACCUGCCCUUCAGAGGGGGACAACAGUUGGAAACGACUGCUAAUACCGCAUACGAUCUAAUCUUGGCAUCGAGGAUAGAUGAAAGGUGGCCUCUACAUGUAAGCUAUCACUGAAGGAUGGGAUUGCGUCUGAUUAGCUAGUAGGAGGGGUAACGGCCCACCAAGGCGAUGAUCAGUAGCCGGUCUGCGAGGAUGAGCGGCCGCAUUGAGACUGAGACACGGCCCAGACUCCUACGGGAGGCAGCAGUGGGGAAUCGUCCGCAAUGGACGAAAGUCUGACGGAGCAACGCCGCGUGAGUGAUGACGGCCUUCGGGUUGUAAAGCUCUGUUAAUCGGGACGAAAGGCCUUCUUGCGAAUAGUGAGAAGGAUUGACGGUACCGGAAUAGAAAGCCACGGCUAACUACGUG